AUUGAACGCUGGCGGCAUGCUUUACACAUGCAAGUCGAACGGUAACAGGCCUUCGGGUGCUGACGUGUGGCGAACGGGUGAGUAAUGCAUCGGAACGUACCCAGAGGUGGGGGAUAACGCAGCGAAAGCUGUGCUAAUACCGCAUGUGAUCUGAGGAUGAAAGCGGGGGACCGAGCAGCAAUGUUUGGCCUCGCGCCUUUGGAGCGGCCGAUGUCGGAUUAGCUAGUUGGUGGGGUAAAGGCCUACCAAGGCGACGAUCCGUAGCUGGUCUGAGAGGACGACCAGCCACACUGGGACUGAGACACGGCCCAGACUCCUACGGGAGGCAGCAGUGGGGAAUUUUGGACAAUGGGCGCAAGCCUGAUCCAGCAAUGCCGCGUGAGGGAAGAAGGCCUUCGGGUUGUAAACCGCUUUUGGCAGGAACGAAACGGUGUCCGCUAAUACCGGGCGCUAAUGACGGUACCUGCAGAAUAAGCACCGGCUAACUACGUG
This 492-nucleotide ribosomal RNA is filed under the name uncultured bacterium. Its description in RNAcentral is "partial 16S ribosomal RNA". It matches the Rfam family "Bacterial small subunit ribosomal RNA", at positions 30 to 507 of the family's 1533-position model. The record is from RNAcentral.